GGAAGCGUGCCCGAAAGCUAAGGACCUCCAUGAUAAGGAGGCUCAUAGGGAUUCAAACCCCCUCACUUCCU
This 71-nucleotide transfer RNA is filed under the name Amolops tuberodepressus. Its description in RNAcentral is "tRNA-Ile". The record is from RNAcentral. Lineage: Eukaryota; Metazoa; Chordata; Amphibia; Anura; Ranidae.